UAGAGUUUGAUCCUGGCUCAGAUUGAACGCUGGCGGCAGGCCUAACACAUGCAAGUCGGACGGUAGCACAGGAGAGCUUGCUCUYGGGUGACGAGUGGCGGACGGGUGAGUAAUGUCUGGGAAACUGCCCGAUGGAGGGGGAUAACUACUGGAAACGGUAGCUAAUACCGCAUAACGUCGCAAGACCAAAGUGGGGGACCUUCGGGCCUCACACCAUCGGAUGUGCCCAGAUGGGAUUAGCUAGUAGGCGGGGUAAUGGCCCACCUAGGCGACGAUCCCUAGCUGGUCUGAGAGGAUGACCAGCCACACUGGAACUGAGACACGGUCCAGACUCCUACGGGAGGCAGCAGUGGGGAAUAUUGCACAAUGGGCGCAAGCCUGAUGCAGCCAUGCCGCGUGUAUGAAGAAGGCCUUCGGGUUGUAAAGUACUUUCAGCGGGGAGGAAGGCGAUGCGGUUAAUAACCGCGUCGAUUGACGUUACCCGCAGAAGAAGCACCGGCUAACUCCGUGCCAGCAGCCGCGGUAAUACGGAGGGUGCAAGCGUUAAUCGGAAUUACUGGGCGUAAAGCGCACGCAGGCGGUCUGUUAAGUCAGAUGUGAAAUCCCCGGGCUCAACCCGGGAACUGCAUUAAACUCAGGCUUGAGUCUCGUAGAGGGGGGUAGAAUCGGCGGAAAUGCGUAGAGUGGGGAAUACCGGUGGCAAGGCGGCCCCCGACGAAGACACCGAAAGG
This 731-nucleotide ribosomal RNA is filed under the name Pantoea septica. Its description in RNAcentral is "bacterial SSU rRNA". It matches the Rfam family "Bacterial small subunit ribosomal RNA", at positions 1 to 753 of the family's 1533-position model. Lineage: Bacteria; Pseudomonadati; Pseudomonadota; Gammaproteobacteria; Enterobacterales; Erwiniaceae. The record is from RNAcentral.